RNAcentral lists this long non-coding RNA (853 nucleotides) under Salvia miltiorrhiza (redroot sage). RNAcentral's name for it is "long non-coding RNA (SMIL_LNC007178)". The record is from RNAcentral. Lineage: Eukaryota; Viridiplantae; Streptophyta; Magnoliopsida; Lamiales; Lamiaceae.
UCUAAUGAUGUCCCAAGUAAAAUAUGAAACAACUCUACUGUCUGAGACCUAAACAAAGCUUCAAGUUAAACACAAUAAGUAUUCUAACAAAUAUGCAUAUUUUGGGAAAAUAUGCGCGUUCGGGAGAGAUAAACAAAAACACGAGGAAAAUAUGCGUACUGUUGUUGGAGGGGCUCUCGGUCGGAGGAUUCCGGUAGGGGCUUACGGCUGAGGAAAAACUUUUGCAUAUGGAUUGACUUCCAAAAUUUUGAUGAGCUUCUUCACUACUAUUUCUGAGAUAUUUUGAUUUUGCAUUAUGUUCAUUCUGUUCUCUACCUCGCUUCCUGUUUCAUAAAAAUAUAAUUGAAAAAAGUCAGGAGUUGAAUCUUGUGGUAUAAAUCCCGGAAGAUCAUGAUAAAUCAUUUCUUGUGCUCGGAAAGAAUAAAUUCCUCGUCUUGAAGAUGCAAGCUCUUUAUCCAAUUUCACUCCAAAUGAAGUAAAUGAGAAUAUACAAUUGUAUGAGCGGAUAUUUCUUCGGAAAUCCAUAGCUUCUUGUGAUUCAGAUGUAAACCAUUCAUAUAAUUCUUCGGGAAUUUCAGAAAAUGGAAGUAUAACCUUUCCAUUAUCGCAACAAAAAGUAGGAGGCUCAUAUUGAAAUUUUGUAGCUCCGCAAUAAGUGCAAUCAGUCACCUUUUUUAGUUCAUUUAGUAUAGAACCUGAAUGCAUAAACAAUAAAUUUAAAUUUAAUGAAAUAUUAUUUAUCCAUAAAUAAAUGACAUUGUAUUACUUACUAUUGAUAUCACAUGAAUUCUGUUGUUUUAAGUUCGAACGUUUCCUUUCCAUUUGUGAAAGUCUUCUUUGUCGAUAUACCUCU